Molecule: long non-coding RNA, 1998 nt
Filed under: Equus caballus (horse)
Lineage: Eukaryota; Metazoa; Chordata; Mammalia; Perissodactyla; Equidae
Description: lncRNA (ENSECAG00000047599.1)
Source: RNAcentral
CUUUAACUUAUAUUUAUCAAGAACUUGCUUUGUGUAAGGCAUUAUAAUAAGUGCUGUACUUACUAGAAAAUCUUUGUACUUGUCUAUUUUUUCCUGCAACAAGGUGUAGAUGAUGGUGUUCACGUGGGCUGCGCACCCCCCUGGGCAUAUGCAAGGGUUAUAUACCAUUUCUGCUAUGUUGGCCAGAAAUACACCCUUCUCUUUCCCACUCAAGAAGGAAUGUCAGAAAGCAAGUGAAUGAGAUAGGUAAUCUUGAAAUUCCUCUAUAAAUUGUCUGCAAGUGUUGGUACUUUGAACCAUUAGUAACAAAUUACAGCUUAUCUCAAAACUGAUUAUGACACAACAGCCUGUCACAUCAAAAAAGGGUGAGAGCCACUGGCGUGCCUGGCAAAGCCACUGUUGCUUGUUAGACCCUGGCCCAUGAGCCUGGGCCUCCUGGCUGCCUUCUUCCCUUGCAAAUAGCCUUCAACAAGAAUAGUCUGGAAAUCUGUGAGGUCCAAUAUCAUUGCCACUGGCCACCUGUGGCUACUGAGCACUUGAGAUGUGACUAGUCUGAAUUGAGAUGUGUCUGAGCCUGCAAGUGUCUACUCCCAGCACCCAGGGCUCUGGCUGCCAAAGACUCGUCUCCAAAAUACCUCCCCCCAUCCCGUCCUCUCUUCAUGCCCUUUCUCUUAUAAUACGUGCCUGUCCCCUGCUCCUUCCUGCAGAGCCCUGCCUUCUGAGAAUGCGCGGAUUGAAUUAUUGAGGCAGCGAAUGAGUAGCUAAUGCUCUUAGGUAAUAUUGCUGAACUUGGGGAUCCAGUAAGGUAGGCCAAGGGGCUCCUUUCCACUAAAACGUGAUUUUGACUGGUACUGAACAUGGCGGUUCAUGUCAGAUGGUACCACAGGCUAAAAGGCAGAUCCCGUCAAAGCAGCAGGUGAAAGAUCUAAGAGUGAGGCCGACUUCGUGGUAAGAAAAGGAGGCUACUUGGAGUGAUGGAGGAUGUGGAAAAGCCCUACUGCUCCCAAAACACUUCCUCUCCCCACAAGAUCAAAUUGGAGGGACACUGGAUGGGAGAGGCUCUUGAGAGAGAGAAUGUUAAAGAGGAGCUGGAGGAAGCAUCUGCCCAGGAGGGUGAGGAUGGUAUUCUCCCUCCAGACAGACAGCGUCUGGGUACCUGGAGGGCCGGCUUCUUGAGGACAGAACCCCGCCUCACCUCUUGAAGUUGGGGGCACCGUGGGUGCUCGAUACCUAUUGAAUGAUUGACUGACUGGCUGAUGGAAUAAAUGAAGUGAAGAAGGAAAUGGCUGACUUUGCGUUCUAUCAACAACUGCCUGACAUUCAGCCAUAAUCUCAAGGGACUCACAGGCCUUGAAAAAAUGGCAUUAUGUAGCCUUCACUGCAACUCAGGGUGAGUUGUCUGAAUGCAGGGGGCUCAUGCUGAAGGGGUCAGCCAGAAAGAAUGGGAAGCGUCCUUUAUAAGGGGUUGUGUGCCUCGGGCACUGUACAAGGUCCCUUGGGAAGCAAAUAAAACACCUAUCUCUUUGGCAAUUCCCCACUAAGACCUUACACGAAAGAAAAAAUUCUAAGAAGAAAUUAAUUCUACCUUUCUUCAAAACGUCUUAUAAAAUUUCCCUCUUUUCUUCUGCUCUUUCCAUUUCUCUCUCCUAUAUCAGGCUCAAAAAAAUUCUCUUCCUUUUUAUCUCUUUCCUAGUCCAUAAAUGGCUUUCCUGGAGAUUUUUUUCUCUCUCUUUCUCUCAUCACAGAAGCUAGCUGACUUGCUUUUUCCAAAUCUCCAUGGCCACGUUACCACAGAUUUUUUUACGUUUAUUUAUUCUCCCACUUGAUUCCGGGUCUGAUGGAUCUAGGCCUCAGAUCGCUCAACCAUUCAGCUUUUGCUUACGUUCUUUCCUCUCUUUUCUACCAACUCUCUAGUUUAUCCCUCCAUUCUGGUUCAUUGUAGUAACUUGUUUUCCUGUGGGGAUCCUCUUUUAGAUUGCUUGUUUUGUUCCUGAAUGU